RNAcentral lists this unclassified non-coding RNA (3117 nucleotides) under Mizuhopecten yessoensis (Yesso scallop). RNAcentral describes it as "rNA polymerase II subunit B1 CTD phosphatase Rpap2- like, transcript variant X1". The record is from RNAcentral. Lineage: Eukaryota; Metazoa; Mollusca; Bivalvia; Pectinida; Pectinidae.
AAAGAUGGCUGCGCCCUGAUGAAACGUGACUUUUAGCUGACACCGACAACUCUCAAAGUUAGCUGAAAGCAUAGUUGAUGUUGUACCAUGUCUUCUUUUCAAAAGGACAGAACGAAACCAAAACACAGCGGUGGCCAGCAAAUAAUAGAUGAAGAAGCAGAAAGAAGAAAGAAAAUUGAACAAGAUGUCCGAAGACGCCAAGAAUGUGAGAAAAAAGCUUUCAAAAUAGUGGAGAAAUUGCUAGAAAAUCCUGUUACUGAAGACACACUACUACAGGAUGCUCUACACAUAUGUCCGAAUCACUACGACGAUAUUAUAGAGGAGCGAGCCAUAGCUAAGUUAUGUGGCUAUCCCAUCUGCCCAAACUCCCUAGGACACAUUCCAAAGCAGAAGUACCACAUUUCUACGAGGAGUAACAAAGUAUAUGACAUCACUACCAGAAAGAAUUUUUGCAGCAACCAGUGUUUCACGGCCUCUCAGUACUUAAGGCGACAGCUGUUGACUGCUCCUCUUUGGAGUCGGAAACAUGUGAAUGACAAACCGUUCAAACUCCUUCCACAGGAAGCCACAAGUGGGUUAGAAGGAGAUGAAGUGAUUUCUAUACAAUCAGAGUUGAGACAAGAAGUGCAGUCACUGGAAAGGCUGGAGAAGUAUGAGGCGAAAAGCAAGGAUAAGUCAGCAAACAGGGGUCCUAAUAACCCGGACAUGUUGAAUUUACAGUCCCUUAAAAUAGCAGAUAGCAACACUUCCUCCAACCAAGACAGAAGUGUGUCAGUCACACAGUCACAUUCCAAAAGUACUCAUCAGGAAGACAAUCUUAUAGAUAAUGCUGAGAAAGGUGAAACAAAAUCUAAAAACAAAGGUGACUCAACAGUAAUUAACCCUAAUCAGAAUUCUGAGACAAAAACAGAAUCUGGACACCAUGGUGACACAAUGAAUGCUGAAGCAAAGAUGAAACAUCUUCAGACUUUGUUGAACAAACGAAAACAUUUGCUUGGUCAAUUGGCAGAUAUUCAGCCAUUGAAAGUGGAGAUGUCCAAUACAAAACUAUCACAUGAUUCAGAUGAUGAUGAUGAAGAGUCUGAAUCAGGAAAAGGUCAGCCUAGAGUCACAAAACUUACUAAAGACUCUGAAAAUAAUAUUGAUCCUGCAUCAGCAAAUGUUGUGUGUGACAAUGUGAAACCUCCAGAUUCUGGUAUGUGUCAGGAUCCUGAAUUGCAGGGAAAUGUCAGUAGAACAAGACCUGCUAUGAUAAAACCACAAGUACUUCCUGCUGAGGUGUCACAGUCAACAACCUUCAUACAACAACAGAGACUAAAAAAUCCUAAAACCCCCGUAACACCGUCCAAAUCUGUGAUAAUGAUUCUGUGUCAGACAAUGAAACAGUGGGUCACCAAGGAAACCAUAGACUUUUUAUCACCACAGGAAUCAGACACUCCACAAGAUAGAAUUGACCACAUAGGAUUCCAGUCGAAAUAUGAACAAUUAUGUCGGCGAAUAGGUAACAGUGAAAAUGACCUUGAUGAUCUCAUAGGAGAAUCCAAAAUGGAGGAUUCAUCUAUUCCACAGAAAACAGUUCCAGAUUACAGAAUACUGAAGGAAGAAACAGAAGAAUUUGGCAACAAGGUGGCACACUACCUACAGGGCAAGACCAGUGCAGCAUUGGUCGUGAAGGAAAAGGACGUCCAGGAGCAGUCAGAAGUCCACCUCCCUACAGUGGACAGUCAUGAUCAAAUGCUGAUUAGAAAGAAAAUUGUUAUGGAAAAAAUUAACAGGGUAAUGCAUGAAAUUCUGACUCCACUGAAGCUGUCCAUGCAGGAAGUGUUUUCAGAAUUAAGACAACUGGUGUCAACAUUCAGACUCGGAAGUCAGAACAUCAUCUUUAGACCAGCAGAGUGGACAUUGGUCAGUCUCAUCCUUUUCAAAAUGUUGGCAAGAAGACAACAUUACAUUGCAGAAGCCUUUAAGGAGGAGAGUGCAGUACGUUACUUUAAUAUUCUCCUCCGUCCUAUCCAUGAGUCGGAGACUGCAGUUGACCAGCAUGUCUCACAAGUCAUCUUCUCUUGACGCCAUUACUAUUUUCCUUUUUACUCCGCAAAAAAGACUGAUUUAUACAGAAAGAAAACCAUAAAGCAAUUUUAGGAUUGUUUAUUGUAAAACAAAAAGGAAAUUUCUGCAUUACCCAUGACAGAAAUUAAUGCUGAAUAUAUGUGUUGUGCAUCAUCCGUUAAAAUUACAACCUGGACUUGGACUUCAAAACCAUUGAAUUGGUCUCUAUAUUAUGGACAAAGACAAACGGCUUGAGGGACAGUGCUAAAAGGGGUUGAAUUGGCUAAUAUUUCAACAGUAUUCUCCUUCAGACCCAGUUACGUUAGAAUCAAGUACUCUCAUAGAUUUCGGUGGAAGGCCUAUCCUUUUGUUGCUUAUUCAUUGAUAAAUAUAUAAUAGAGAUUUAUUGGAAUCGAUAAAAACAAACGUGUGACUUCAGUAUGUUACAUUAUUUAUUGAUAAUACUCAGAGAAAAAACAAAACGUGAUUUUACAUAUCCCCGAAUAUAUAUACAUGUAUAACAUGUGACAGAAAGUGAUGGUCCAUAAAACAAGUAUUCCGCUACCAGGUAUAGGUAAAAUCUCAACCGUAUUGGUACUACCAGGUAUAUAUAAAAUCUCUAUCAUAUUGGUACUACCAGGUAUAUAUAAAAUCUAUCGUAUUGGUAUUACCAGGUAUAGAUAAAAUCUCAACCGUAUUGGUACUACCAGGUAUAUAUAAAAUCUCUAUCAUAUUGGUACUACCAGGUAUCUAUAAAAUCUAUCGUAUUGGUAUUACCAGGUAUAGAUAAACUCUCAACCGUAUUGGUACUACCAGGUAUAUAUAAAAUCUCUAUCAUAUUGGUACUACCAGGUAUAUAUAAAAUCUCUAUCGUAUUGGUACUACCAGGUAUAGAUAAAAUCUCAAUCGUAUUGGUACUACCAGGUAUAGAUAAAAACUCAACUGUAUUGGUACUACCAGGUAUAUAUAAAAUCUCUAUCGUAUUGGUACUACCAGGUAUAGAUAAAAUCUCAACCGUAUUGGUACAACCAGGUAUAGAUAAAAUCUCAACCGUAUUGGUACUACCAG